Long non-coding RNA from Drosophila miranda, 2825 nucleotides. RefSeq lists it as uncharacterized. The record is from RefSeq and is a predicted model, not a curated record. NCBI's taxonomy places the organism in Eukaryota, Metazoa, Arthropoda, Insecta, Diptera, Drosophilidae. The transcript has 4 exons.
UACUGCUACUUGUGCCUUUGUUGUUACGUUUACAUGAUCGAAAUGUUUAACUGGUAUGACGAAGUCGACCUACUCAAUGUCAUUGAUCUAAUGGAUAAUUACCUUUGAAAGACAGGAAAAACAGGCACCGAGCACCGCAUCUUGGCCUGGUAGCGGCCUUCUUUGGUGUUGGGCUACCAGAUUUUGGUCCUUUUUUAACCAAUGGGCUAUAUCUGUAAAGAGUAAGAAUACGAGCCAUGUGAAAGAUUCCCGAAAUCAGUCCCUUUGAUGUAGAAGGCCCCACGGAUGAUCGGGAAUACUGUUUCAUAUGCGCUUUGAUCCGUUUAUUAGAUCUACAUUAAAAUUAAUUUUCCAGAUCAAGUAGGCCGAGAAUUGGGAUGUAAGUACGCGCCUUCUUGGCCAGGUUUGCUGUGGCCUGUGACUACCUUUGAAGUAGGUCCCACAGAAUAUCUUCCAUAUGGUUUUUAUAGAACAUUUUCAGAAGCCCCGGCGCAGGACCAUGCAGGAGCGCACUAGCAUGCCGGAUAUGAAGAGACCUGUGGAGUAGAAAAUGAAUAAUGAGUAAGACCAUGCAGACGAUAUAUAUUAAAUGAAAAGACUAUGAAAAAACUCGCAUAAAUUGUAUGCAAAAAUCAUUUAGAAAUGUUUAAUUCGCAAACACCCGUUUUUUUGGGAGCCAUAGUCCGAAGUUAAGCGCAUUAAAGAUAAUUGAAAUUUAUAUUAUGUAAAUUGGCAGCAGCGGGAAAAGUAAAAGUGGCAAAUGGGUGCAAAAACUGUUUUCCCAAGAAUACAAAAAAAAGGAAAGCAAAAAAUAUAAAACAAUAAACAAAUUAAGUGCGUGACCCUCACAGAAUAUCUCGUAUUUCUACAGUUUUUUCUCAUCAUAAUUGUGAUAAUUGUUUUCCAAUCGAUGGAGCAGAAACGCAACGCACGCCAUUCAAUCAGAAAGUCGGCCCAUUUCCUCCUGCACACCCAAUCCAUCAGCCGUCCCCGGUCUGGUGUUUCUUUUGCUCAUUUCGCAUAAAUAAACGCAUGCAAAAACGAGACCGUUGAUGGCCAUUUGAAAAGCUGCAGCUGGACUUGGUCUUCAAAUGAAAAUUAACACCCACGCACACUGCAUAAUGGAAAUGGUUUUCGGAAAAAGAAAAUAGCAACUCAAUCGGUCAAUAAAUAAAUUAGUUUUUAGCUAAAUUCAUGCAUUAAAAUGGUGAUUAUUGGCAACCUUCUGACAUUUGGUCAUAAUUGGUUUUCAGUAUUUUUGAUGUCGAACCAUUUGAAUUUAAAUUGAAGACUACCGCCAGGCUCUGUAUUAUUCAUGACGCUUCAUUACGUUCACGUAUACAUUCAUGCGUAUAUAUUACGUAUACGUAGUGUAUACGAGCUUUAAAAUUGAUUACGAAAUGGAUAUCCGGCUGGAAAAUCAUUUCCGGGAUUUUAGAUAACAAAAUUAUUUUUAUAUUGUGCGAGCAUUUAAUUUAAAUAACUUUAUGAGCGCCUGAAUUGGUUUACAUUCGAGGAAUUAUUGGUUAUUGCGAAGCACCAGUGAAUGACCUCGAAAGUUCUUCAGGACCUUCAUGGUGCUGGUCAUAAAGGUAGCUGGCUCUGCUAAUCGCUCCACUGCCAGAGACAGUCGAGUUGGGGCCCAAAACUGGGGCGGUGCACCGCCCAUGGUACUACAGAGGAUUGGCAGCUGUUUGGAUGGCUGGCUGGCUGGAUGGCAAGGCAAUUGAAAUGGCCAACCGACCUGGACUGCCAAACACAUAGAGACAGAGCAGCAUACAGAGCAGAGCUAGAGAAACCACAGAGCCCCUACACGGUAAUUAUCUAACAAGAUUACGCAAAAUGUGCCCCCCAGAGCCGGGAGCGGAAACAACGACAGCCGUUGCAGAUGCAUCUGCAACAGAGGAAAAGGCAUCCCUCCAACUCUCCAACAACGGCUGAUGACAGUGGGGCAGAAUGCAAAAUGUUGUUAAGUCGCUGCCAAAACGCUCCGUUGCACAAGUGGACUGUGUUCGCUCCACCCGGAAUGGUGGUUAUGGGCGGUGGUGCAUGGCUGGAGGAGGCGUCGGAUUACGGCUCUUAAUCCUGUGAAUUUCUCGCUUUUACAACUGGCUUAAAGUGAAAGUGUGUCAAACUCAGGUGUCCUUGCAUCUGCUGAUGAAUGCCGGUCACAGUCGGAUGCUUGGCAGGGGAGAGAUACGGAAAUCAUUCGCAUUCCCCUUCGCAGUGGGAUGCAGGAUGGGAACCGAGCUCAGGGAUUGAAAAUCUGGCAACAUUAACAUGCCGCAAAAUCGAAUUCUACACAAAAUAAAGGCGUAAGAGGAAAAGGAUACGAGUGAAGGUAAUCUUUCGGGGAAACCAAGUCAAGGCUAAGCCCUGGAAUGGCCUGGGAGACGGGGAGAUGGCGAACCACAUCAAAAUCAAGUCAAAACCUAGACAAACACACUUGUUGGCUUAUCAUGUUACCCAUGUUAAGCGUAUUAAUGGCAGCGAUGACGACAACAACGAAUAGGACAAGGACAAGGAGCACAAGGACAAGGAUGACUAUGUGCCACAUCUCUGAAUGUUGAUCUUCAGGCUCCAAAGGCCAACAACAAUAAAAGGGCGUCAGGGCGUCAGGGCGACAGCCAGUGCGGCAAACAAACAAGCAAACGGGCCAAGUUAACAAAACGAAAAGAAGGAAAAGUAAAAUAUUAAUAGCCAGCUACUAAAAUAGCAAAAGCAGAGAUCCAAACACAAAGAAUCAGCAUUCAGCAUCGGGGUCGUGCCACAGACGCACGAGUUUUCACUGCCUUGAAGGAGGGACCGCCAAGGAGCACCAGGAG